This 261-nucleotide ribosomal RNA is filed under the name uncultured Paracoccaceae bacterium. RNAcentral describes it as "uncultured Rhodobacteraceae bacterium partial 16S ribosomal RNA". It matches the Rfam family "Bacterial small subunit ribosomal RNA", at positions 516 to 776 of the family's 1533-position model. The record is from RNAcentral. Lineage: Bacteria; Pseudomonadati; Pseudomonadota; Alphaproteobacteria; Rhodobacterales; Paracoccaceae.
AAAACAACUACGAAGGGGGCUAGCGUUGUUCGGAAUUACUGGGCGUAAAGCGCACGUAGGCGGACUUUUAAGUCAGGUGUGAAAUCCCAGGGCUCAACCCUGGAACUGCCUUCAAAACUCCCAGUCUUGAGUUCGAGAGAGGUGAGUGGAAUUCCGAGUGUAGAGGUGAAAUUCGUAGAUAUUCGGAGGAACACCAGUGGCGAAGGCGGCUCACUGGCUCGAUACUGACGCUGAGGUGCGAAAGCGUGGGGAGCAAACAGG